RNAcentral lists this ribosomal RNA (2187 nucleotides) under Triticum aestivum (bread wheat). Its description in RNAcentral is "partial small subunit ribosomal RNA". The record is from RNAcentral. Lineage: Eukaryota; Viridiplantae; Streptophyta; Magnoliopsida; Poales; Poaceae.
AUGGAUUUAGAUCAAAUUGUAUCUCGGCCGAACAUAGAAAAGACAAUGUUCACAGAAUGGAUGACAGCCAACCAGUUGCAUGAAGAAGCUCGCAGUUUGACGUAUGCACAGUUUCCAACCAAAUGGACUUGGCAUGCACAAGAGAAAGAAUGGAGGAAAAGGCGUGGUGGACAAAAAACCAUAGGCAGGAUUUACUAUGCACAACCAACGAGCGGUGAAAAAUACUACUUGAGAAUGCUAUUAAAUACCGUCAAAGGAUGCAGAUCAUAUGAAGAAAUUCGAACAGUUGAUGGGGUUGUACAUCCAACAUUCAAAUCCGCAUGUUAUGCUCUUGGGCUACUUAAUGACGACAAAGAGUGGGAUGACUGCAUCAAGGAAGCAUCCCAUUGGGCCUCUGCUCCUCAAAUGCGCCAACUUUUCUGCACAAUACUUUUAUUUUGUGAGGUGACGGAUCCCGCAAAGUUGUGGCAAACAAAUUGGGAGUUACUAUCUGAGGAUAUCCAACGUCGGCAAAGAAGAAUAUUCAAUUUUCAGGCCCUGGAACUCAACUCGGCACAAAUAAAGAGCCUGCUCCUGGCAGAGAUAGAACAACUAUUGACUAAAGGUGGUAAGUCCCUCGAAGAUUUUCCAGGAAUGCCACUACCAGAUAGUUCAGUUCUUCAAGAUCUAAAUAAUAGAUUAGUAAAUGAGGAACUAAACUACGAUAAAGAUUCUUUAAGAAUAGAGCACAUGAAGUUACUGCAAAAGCUAAAUCAAGAUCAGAGGAUGGCUUUUGACGUUAUAAUAGAAUCAGUCAACGACAGUCUUGGAAAAUUGAUUUUUGUUGACAGAUAUGGUGGAACUGGAAAGACAUUUCUGUGGAAAGCAGUCACGACAAAAUUAAGAUCUGAAGGAAAAAUAGUUCUAGCAGUUGCUUCAAGUGGUAUAGCAGCACUUCUUUUACAAGGUGGAAGAACAGCUCAUUCAAGAUUUCACAUUCCCCUCAAGAUCACUAAUGAGUCCACAUGCAACAUCAAGCAAGGAACAUUUCUUGCGGAGCUAAUAAAGAAAAUGUCACUGAUAAUAUGGGAUGAAGCACCUAUGACACACAAGCACUGUUUUGAGGCACUAGAUAAGAGUUUGAGAGACAUACUUCGAUUCACAUACGAGGACGCAGAGCAUAGACCAUUUGGAGGAAUGACAGUAGUCUUGGGAGGUGACUUCAGGCAAAUCCUACCAGUUAUACCGAAGGGGAAAAGGGAACAUAUCAUUUCUGCAUCAAUAAAGAGAUCCUACCUAUGGAAGAACUUUGACGAGUACCGACUCAAAGAAAAUAUGCGUCUAAAUUCAUCCGAAGGUAGUCCAGAAGAGAAAGCAAAAACAGCUGAAUUCGCAAACUGGAUACUAAACAUCGGCGAUGGCACAACAUCAACAGUAGAUGAAGAGGAUUGGGUUAGCAUCCCAGAGGACCUUAUUUUACAUGAAGGAGAUGACCCGAAAGCAUCUAUUGUUAACACCACCUACCCCGACUUACACAGAAAAUACACUGAUAGAACAUACCUAGAGGAAAGAGCGAUCUUGUGCCCAAGAAACGAGACUGUUGACCAGAUUAAUGCCUACAUCAUGAGUCAAAUUCCUGGAGAAGAGGUAACCUAUUUCAGUUCAGAUACAACAUGCAAGGCAAUGUCUACGGUGGAAGAUGAAGAUAUGUUGUACCCAACUGAGUUUUUGAAUAGUCUUACAUUUUCUGGAAUACCAGACCAUGAACUGAGGCUGAAAGUAGGGUUACCAAUAAUGCUUAUGAGGAACAUCAAUCAAAGUGCAGGACUUUGCAAUGGGACAAGACUAACAAUAACACAGCUAGGAAAGCGUUUCAUUGAAGGCCAGGUCAUAACAUGUCCUAACGUUGGUGACAAAGUUUACAUCCCACGAAUUAUCAUGUCACCAAGUGAUUCAAAAUGGCCUUUCAUUCUGAAAAGGAGACAAUACCCAAUAUCAGUGUGCUUUGCUAUGACUAUAAACAAAAGCCAGGGGCAAUCUCUCAAAAAAGUUGGACUCUACUUAGAAAGGCAAGUGUUCACACAUGGACAACUCUAUGUUGCAAUGUCAAGGGUGACCAGCAGAAAUGGAUUGAAGAUACUCAUAUCAGAUGAAGAGCGUCCAUCCGACAAGGUUGCAAAAAACAUUGUUUACAAGGAUAUAUUAUAG